This is a non-coding RNA of Neolamprologus brichardi, 4210 nucleotides long. The record is from RefSeq and is a predicted model, not a curated record. Lineage: Eukaryota; Metazoa; Chordata; Actinopteri; Cichliformes; Cichlidae.
CUCUCCUUUCCGACAAAGGAGGAAAUGCCAGUCUGGUCAGCCAGUAAGUGAGAUAUAAGUUAGACAGCAGUGGCCUUGUAACAGUAGCUGUUCCCGUUGUUGUGUUGAGAGGAAACAAGGUUUUUUGGAUUGUUGUGAUUCUUGUGAUUUAUCAACUGAUUGUGUUGUUUUGUGAUCAUGUUGACACUAAAGAACAAAACCUGUUCUCAGCAGGUUAAAAAAGUGACAGGAAGCUUCUUAUUUGACAGUUUCCUUUAUUUUCAUCUUCUUUUGAGUAUUUGUUUCCUCACUCACUGACAGCUUGCUUUGUUUCUCUUUGCACCUGUGUAGUUAGUGUGUUUAUUGCAAUGUGCUGAGCUUUGUGUGUGUGUAAAUAUACACGUGCAAGCGUGUGAGCGUGUGACAUCCACCUCCAUCCCUGUUACCUGUUGCCGUGUUGCAGCGGCUUCCCUAUCUUAAAGGGCUGGUACCCUGAGAAUGAUAAUGGCGAGACUUUUUAGAGACUCUAAACAACACUGAGUUCAAACAAACAACAACAACAUAAAACAAAAGGCAUGUUUGCUUGUUGGAAAAGGGGAAAAAGACAUCUUGUUCCCUUGCUUUUCUUUGACGAGGAUGCUUUCUGUGUCUGUGUCUGAAUGUCCCGGCAUCCUGGCUACCCCCCCGCUCGCCAUUCCCAUCUCCUCCUUCUCGCUCCUCAUACUUCCCGCUUGGAUGAUUUAGCAACUCAUCCCUUGCUUUGCUCCCCAGGACUUAGUCCAAAUGUUACAAAACACCAAGACAUGGGAUUCAGGCACACAUCACUGAGGUUCAUCUUAAUAUUUACAUGUUUACAGCAUUUUUUUUGGUUUGUUUUUGUAUAAGAUAUUAACAUCAUGUUCAAUUCAGCCAGGAUGAACACAUCCUUCCAAACACUUUCAACGUUCACACUCUCCAGUAUGUCUCAACAACAUUCCUCCUUAAUGCAUCCCUAAUUUUCAUUUCCUGUCUUGUCUUUUCUCCUGUGAUCUCCUGUGUCUUUCUCUCCUGCCUGCCCCUGCUGCUUGUCUCUGUGCCUCUGGCCUUUCCUCUGUCCCUCUGGCCCCCUCUGCUGUGGUGGGUGUGUAAAAACAGCCUCCAGAGGACAGGACCUGGGUGUACUCUCCGCUACACUAUGGCUCAGAGUCUAAGGCCCUGCCAGAUGGGGAUUGGGAAAGAGAGACAUAAAUCCUGUUUUCUGGCAGACAGGAGUGAACGUCUCAGCGGAGAGGACUCAUCAGUCUGAAGUCCAGACCUCAGUGGCGGCAGCGCGAUCUCUGUCUGAACCAGGAUUUAAAAACAUGCAUACAGAAACACACUGAGAUGAAAAAGUGACUGUACCAGAGUACCAGAGGGAGAAAAAAACCCUGACAGUGAUGAUAUCACUGGUUUGCAACCAUCCCUGCCUUUCACCCUUUGACAAAUGAAAUUUAUUACAUCAGUUUAAUAAAUAAUUGUAUGUGUGACAUAGUGCGCAUAAGGCCGUAUGUAGUCUUGUAUGUUUGACACACCCAAAAGACCACGAUAACCUACUUUUUGUUCUGUUUCACACUAACACAGCCCUCCAACUGACUCUUUCCCGACGAAUCUCUUAAAGUCAUUUUUAUUCGUGAUAUCCUUUAUGUUGCAAAGCGGUCACACAUACUAGCCAGCAGUAAUCUCCUGGGUUCUGUGAUCAAACAAAACCACAAGAAGCUCAUUAAAACAUUGAUCCAUGACACAAAUACGGGUUAAAAAAUCCUAAAUUGAGUGGAUGCUCCUUAUAGAAAUGUACCUCUAAGUUUUAAAGUAUUAAAGUUUUCCAUUUUUAAGCAACUGUUCAUCUUUUGUAGCGAGGCUUUAAUGAAGCUAUAUUAAUGCUACUACUGCCUUCGGUUCUUAAUAAAGAAAAUGAAUGGCACAUCCAGAACUAGGAGCAUAUAAAGUAGUUUCUCCCAGUAAGGAAACCUAAUUUGAAGAAAAAUGAAAUUAAACUCGUUAAUCUCAAAAUGAUCUCCAGUGCAAUUACCUUAGACUGGAACAUAUCAGUCAUCCUGUGACUGCACUGGCUGCUGUGUUUCCAACCAGUUCGAAGGAAAUCUCCAGCUCAGUGGUUGUAAUUGCUGCCAGUAUGGUGCCCAUUUCCAUUAUGCCGCUGCUGUUGAAGUUAAUUAGCUGUGUCUGCUUUUCCAUGAUAAUCUUACCAGAGGUCAUCAUCACAAAAUUCAGAACAGUUUGAUGCUAAAAGAUUUUUGCAAAACCAAGUGUGCAAAAGUACGUCUUACUAGGCAGCCACCAUAGCCUGACAUAACUUGGCUAAAUAGGGCUUUUUCUUCCUUUUUUUCCCCUGAGGCAGUGGAUUACUCUUCUGUAUCCCGUGAUGUUGGAGGGCCCACUUUGAGCCAAUCAAAGCAGAACAUCCAGAUAUCUCUGUCAUCCUUUAAAGUAGUGAAAAUAUGCAGUUUAACUUUAAAAAAAAAUCAAAAACAUAUUCAUCUACAGCAUUAUUAAAACUUAAGUCCUGUUGUUAUAUUUUCAUUUCUAAACUUUUCUUCAGCUGUUUUUACUACUGUGAACUUUUAUUUAUUUGUCUGUUUGUAUUUGAUUGUAAUAUUCACGACUGGUACUUUUCACUCAUUUUUUUUUAUUAUCCAUUUGCAUCCAAAGACUUUUAGUUUUUGUUUUGCUCAUUUUCUUCACUGCGGUAUUUUGUUCUCUUUUUCACGUGUUGUCUAAUCCAGUGUUGUUUUCCACUACACCACAUGUUGUUCCAAUAGCUGAGGGUGAUGACUCUUGCCUUCAAAAUAGAAGGCGUCAAUUACAACACUAAGGCAGCAGACAUUGUCAUUAGAGUAAUUUUCACGUCUACACAAUGUCUUCCAGUGUUGCCCUGCUUUCGGACCGACGCACAGGGAUCAUUUGUAACAGCAGAAUCAGCAUAUCAGUUACUUUUUUCUACAUCACCUCCUCGCGUCAAGAAAAUCGGGGAAUCUUUCCAAUGUUUGUAGAUGUAGAGCACCAGUUGUAGUGUUUGCGGUCGAUAUCGUAGCCGUUACCUGUAUAUUCCAGUGAACGCAGUGCGUGUUGGCUUGGUGAGACACAGCAGUUUGUGAAUGGGUUGAAUGUCGUUUGCGCUCAUUAAAAGGACCUGAAGACGAACUAGUGGUAGAGGCCAAAUAAACACUCGUCACAUUAUCCAGAAGUCAUAUUUUCGAGUUCUUAGAUAAGAGUCUCUGCUCGCACGUGCUGAUAUUUGGACAGUAUUUAUUUUAGGUUUGUGUGUGUGUGCACAUGUGUCUGUGACAUCAAUCAAAGUCAUUGUACAUUUAGUGUUUACUGUAGUCUCUCUGUGGCUGACAUCUUAAAGAUUUGAAGGUUUUUUUGGGUUUUUUAAACUAACUACAGGCAGUUUCUUCGGUUCGUUGGUACCUUUUUACGUGUGUUUGUGUGUAAGGGAGGUUACAUCAAUGUCAGCUGUUGUAAAAUAAGAAUCGGUUUGUUCUCAUGACGUGCAGUGGCCAGUUGUAAUCAGUUUGCUGUUGUUCAUCAGAUGAAGACCAUAGCAGCAAUAUUUUGUACAGUUAAGCUUUUACGUUAAUUGCCUUAUUAGGAAAUUUUACAUAUAGGUCUGUUGUUUAUAUUUUUUUUCCACUUGUGCUGUAAUAUUUAUUUUUCGUUCUCAUAGUUGUGCUCCCGAGAAUGUGUACAUAAAACUAUAAAUACAUAUAUAAAGAUAUACAAAUAUAUUUUCCAUUUGAAUCGGGAAAAUAUUAUUUUUAUUUGGUUUCAUUUUUGCUGCUGGGCAAGAAAUGAUUGCAAUCUACAUGAUUUUACUGUACCAUAUUCUUCAGUGUGUUUAUUGAGAUGCAGCUGCUGUAUAUUUAUGGUUUGCGAACCACGGCUGUGUCUCUGUAUGAUAUCCAAAACCGAAAGAUUUGUGGGGUUUAAUGUACAUGCAGAUCAAUAGGGAUUCUUCCAACUGUUCAGCUGUGUCGUGUGUGUUUUCAAAUCCCUGUGUGCCCUCAUCCAAUAGGGAGAGUCCUUUACAGAGACAUAGCAUGAUAUCAAAAUGAAUAUGCAUAUCAGAAAUGUGUAUUUAUGUAUAUCUGUGUAAAUUCAUCUAUUUAUACACGAGGAUAAAUAGAUGACUGUGUGUGCGUGUGUUUGGACUCAAUCAGAAUGAAUACGAAAUAAAGCAGUUCUAUGAAUUGUU